GACAGAGGGUGCAAGCGUUGUUCGGAAUCACUGGGCGUAAAGGGCGUGUAGGCGGCGGGGUGUGUCUGAUGUGAAAGCCCACGGCUCAACCGUGGAAGUGCAUCGGAAACUACCUUGCUUGAGUACGAGAGAGGGUGGCGGAAUUCCAAGUGUAGAGGUGAAAUUCGUAGAUAUUUGGAGGAACACCAGUGGCGAAGGCGGCCACCUGGCUCGUAACUGACGCUGAUACGCGAAAGCGUGGGUAGCAAACAGG
Molecule: ribosomal RNA, 253 nt
Filed under: uncultured bacterium
Lineage: Bacteria
Description: partial 16S ribosomal RNA
Rfam family: Bacterial small subunit ribosomal RNA
Source: RNAcentral